UACAAAGUUCUAAGACCACACUACCCCUAAAUUUUCAAAACAAAACAAAACAAACAUUUCGCCCAAUAUUCACCUAAAAACAUCUCCUAUCGUCCGAACCACACCCAUACAAAGUUCCUUCACUUCCGGCAUUUCUUGAGUUCCCUCGAGUUUCUUCACUUACAGCGGCGAUUUCCUUCACUUCUAACAACGUGUGUGAGUUAUUUUGGUUCUAGUAAAUUCAUUCACUUACGGUUUCGGUGGCUUAGGCACUUUCUUUGUUUUUUUCAUUAAUUUAGAAUAAAUUUUUGUUUAAAUUGCCUUGUUGGUUCAUCAUUGAUCAUAGUUAAUCAUUAGGAUGUGUACUAGGUAUGAAAAUAUGAAGUUUUUUUAAAGAUUAAGAUAUCUAAUAAAUGGCACACCAAGUGUAUGUUUAAAUGCCUCUAAGAAAUUAUUGAUCUAAACUUAGAAUUAUUUUGAGGUUAAAGAGAAGGUUGGUGUGCCAACCAAUCAAGAACGUGGAAGGUUGCCCGUGUUGCCUAAAAUUUAGCAUGUUGUCGCCCGAUUUUCCCGAGACCUGCAUAAUGCUUGACUAAACCAAGCAAAUGAUAGCUCUCUGGAAAAUCGGGCAACAAACUAUGUCGCCCAAACUAUGUCGCCCGGGCGACGCGCAUGUCACCACAUUGUCUGUUGACAACUUUAUGCGGGCGACACUGCUUGUCAUCCGAUUUUUCAGAUAGUUGCAUAAUGCUUGACAAAAUCAAGAAAAGAAUAACUCUCUGAAAAAUCAGGCGACGAGCCUGUCGCCACAAUGUCUAUUAGCUAUUUGAUGCGUGUGACAUGGGUUGUCACCCAAGCGACACAGCCUGUCGCUUUAUUUUUUUCGAGUGUUGUCAAUUGCUUGAUUGUAAUCAAUAACAUGACACCAUAAUUAAUCAACAUAAUAAAGUCAUUCCACAUUUAAAUAAUACAAGAUUUAUCAAAAUAAGAUCUUCUCAUAAGUUUUACAUGAUAAAGUUAUUCCAAAUUACAUAAUACAAUUUGUAAAUUUAAUAUAUCUUCGAACACACUAAAACACCAUUAAUGCAGAUUUGCUGGAAGGGGAUUCUCACACAUCUUUCGGUUAUGGCCACGCUCCCCGCACCAACCACAAGUUAUAGUAGAUCAAGGUCUCGGAUAUCCACACAUAUAAACAGUAUUCUUCGUGUUUUCUGUCGACUGGAAAAUGAUGGUACAUAUGGUAGAUUCACUUGCAAUGUUCGGACGUGUACUAUAAUUUCCUAAUUGUUCAAAUGUUG
This 1277-nucleotide long non-coding RNA is filed under the name Citrus x clementina. RNAcentral describes it as "Citrus clementina (C. clementina) long non-coding RNA (CCLE_LNC006873)". The record is from RNAcentral. Lineage: Eukaryota; Viridiplantae; Streptophyta; Magnoliopsida; Sapindales; Rutaceae.